This is a long non-coding RNA of Cololabis saira (Pacific saury), 1152 nucleotides long. RefSeq lists it as uncharacterized. NCBI's taxonomy places the organism in Eukaryota, Metazoa, Chordata, Actinopteri, Beloniformes, Belonidae. The transcript is spliced from 5 exons. The record is from RefSeq and is a predicted model, not a curated record.
GUUACAGAAGAAACUUGAGACACUUUCCUAGUCUGCAGUCAUGAUCAAACUGCUGAGUCUUGCUGUUGUAGCAGUGCUGGUUUUUGAUUCAGUCGAAUCAACUAAGAAAUAUGUGCCACGCCCACGGCCUUGGCUGCCGCGAAUGUGCUGGACUAACUGGUACGAUCGAGACAAUCCUAGCGGAACAGGUGACUGGGAGAUCUUGACAAGCCUGAGAAAAGAAAACCCAAAAGAAAUAUGCUCAUAUCCUCGGAGAAUCCAAGCCGUUACCACUGACACACAGACUCCAGCCCAUGCAACUGGCGAGAGAUUUCAUAUCUACAGUCCAAGGGGGGGACUUGUUUGCCGGAAUCAGGACCAGCGAUCUCGCUUCUGCAGGGACUACAAAGUUCGCUUUCUUUGCCCCUGUAUUCGCCCUUUCCCUAUCGACAUGCUUGAGCAUGUCCGAGAUAUUAAAAAAGUAUAAUUUGAAUAUGAAACAGACAAUUUAUUUCUUUUUUCUUUUUUUUAUCUGCCUUGUAAAACUAAUUUAGACAAACAAAGCUGGAAAUUAUAUGUGUAUAAUUGAGUCUGCACAUGGUUUUUACUCAUACAUACAAUUAGAAUUUUAUACAUUUUAAUAUCUCAUAGUGAUGAGAAACAUUGUUUUCCUAAGUAUAACUGGUUAUUGUAAAACAUAGUUGUUCUUAAUAAAUACACUAAACUAGUUUAAAAGGCUCCUAAACUUUUACAAAGUAGUACCUGUUAACCCCCCCUUAACAGCUUGUAAUGCUGGUUUUGAUCUUUGAUAUUACUCUUCACAGGCUAGGUUUGAGUUUUGCCUUGUUUUGGUCUUGAUUGUUGUUUUGUUUUUUUGCGGUCUGGACAAAUGAAGCUCUUUCAUGUUGAGCAGCAAGUCGAGCUCCAGCGUCACAGUGAACCACUUUCUACAACCCCAGAUCCCUGAAAGUGAGACAGCUGAAAAGAAUCCAACCAUCUUUGAUCAGACAUGUUGUUUCCAGACUAAAUGUGCUCUUGGGAGAGAGAUUUAUUGUGUUUUUGUUUGUUUUUCUAUUAUUCUUAUUUUGUUCUUCUAGGAUCAUGAAAUCGACUUUGUUUGACUAAUGUGAGGAAACAAAUAAACCUACAAAUAAACUUUUAACUACAACCAAA